This 450-nucleotide ribosomal RNA is filed under the name uncultured bacterium. RNAcentral describes it as "partial 16S ribosomal RNA". It matches the Rfam family "Bacterial small subunit ribosomal RNA", at positions 354 to 796 of the family's 1533-position model. The record is from RNAcentral.
GUGGGGAAUAUUGGACAAUGGGCGAAAGCCUGAUCCAGCCAUGCCGCGUGUGUGAAGAAGGUCUUCGGAUUGUAAAGCACUUUAAGUUGGGAGGAAGGGCAGUAAGUUAAUACCUUGCUGUUUUGACGUUACCGACAGAAUAAGCACCGGCUAACUCUGUGCCAGCAGCCGCGGUAAUACAGAGGGUGCAAGCGUUAAUCGGAAUUACUGGGCGUAAAGCGCGCGUAGGUGGUUCGUUAAGUGUGAUGUGAAAGCCCCGGGCUGAACCUGGGAACUGCAUCCAAAACUGGCGAGCUAGAGUACGGUAGAGGGUGGUGGAAUUUCCUGUGUAGCGGUGAAAUGCGUAGAUAUAGGAAGGAACACCAGUGGCGAAGGCGACCACCUGGACUGAUACUGACACUGAGGUGCGAAAGCGUGGGGAGCAAACAGGAUUAGAAACCCCGGUAGUCC